Molecule: ribosomal RNA, 554 nt
Filed under: uncultured bacterium
Lineage: Bacteria
Description: partial 16S ribosomal RNA
Rfam family: Bacterial small subunit ribosomal RNA
Source: RNAcentral
UAGGGAAUCUUCCACAAUGGACGCAAGUCUGAUGGAGCAACGCCGCGUGAGUGAAGAAGGUUUUCGGACCGUAAAGCUCUGUUGUUGGUGAAGAAGGAUAGAGGUAGUAACUGGCCUUUAUUUGACGGUAAUCAACCAGAAAGUCACGGCUAACUACGUGCCGGCAGCCGCGGUAAUACGUAGGUGGCAAGCGUUGUCCGGAUUUAUUGGGCGUAAAGCGAGCGCAGGCGGAAGAAUAAGUCUGAUGUGAAAGCCCUCGGCUUAACCGAGGAAUUGCAUCGGAAACUGUUUUCUUGAGUGCAGAAGAGGAGAGUAGAACUCCAUGUGUAGCGGUGGAAUGCGUAGAUAUAUGGAAGAAUACCAGUGGCGAAGGCGGCUCUCUGGUCUGCAACUGACGCUGAGGCUCGAAAGCAUGGGUAGCGAACAGGAUUAGAUACCCUGGUAGUCCAUGCCGUAAACGAUGAGUGCUAAGUGUUGGGAGGCUUCCGCCUCUCAGUGCUGCAGCUAACGCAUUAAGCACUCCGCCUGGGGGAGUACGACCGCAAGGUUGAAAC